RNAcentral lists this ribosomal RNA (403 nucleotides) under uncultured bacterium. Its description in RNAcentral is "bacterial SSU rRNA". It matches the Rfam family "Bacterial small subunit ribosomal RNA", at positions 11 to 416 of the family's 1533-position model. The record is from RNAcentral.
GUUUGAUCCUGGCUCAGAUUGAACGCUGGCGGAAUGCUUUACACAUGCAAGUCGAGCGGCAGCGCGGGGGCAACCCUGGCGGCGAGCGGCGAACGGGUGAGUAACAUAUCGGAACGUACCCAGUCGUGGGGGAUAACUAUCCGAAAGGAUAGCUAAUACCGCAUACGACCUGAGGGUGAAAGCGGGGGACCGUAAGGCCUCGCGCGAUUGGAGCGGCCGAUAUCGGAUUAGCUAGUUGGUGAGGUAAAGGCUCACCAAGGCGACGAUCCGUAGCUGGUCUGAGAGGACGACCAGCCACACUGGAACUGAGACACGGUCCAGACUCCUACGGGAGGCAGCAGUGGGGAAUUUUGGACAAUGGGGGCAACCCUGAUCCAGCCAUUCCGCGUGAGUGAAGAAGGCC